This is a long non-coding RNA of Eriocheir sinensis (Chinese mitten crab), 1584 nucleotides long. RefSeq lists it as uncharacterized. Lineage: Eukaryota; Metazoa; Arthropoda; Malacostraca; Decapoda; Varunidae. The transcript has 4 exons. The record is from RefSeq and is a predicted model, not a curated record.
GGUCAAGAUUGUUAGUGCCGGCACACACCAGGACCUUCCAUCACUAGUCUUUACUCCCUCUCAAAUGUUCUCCUGGGAUUGUUGUCUUGAUUCUUCUCUGGCAUGGCUUUGGUUAACCUUCCAUCACAGUUUGCCCUUGAGGCACCAGCCUACCUCUAGACCCACAGCAUCAGUGCAAAGGCUUACUAGCAUGAGUGAGACAGUCCAGCCCAGCACCAAGCCCUGUCAUAACCUGGACCAUGAAGCACCCAGCCAGGCACCACUAUGACCCUUGAUGGCUAAACACGUCCAAUAAAUACAGAUGUAACUACCUCACGCAAGGACUGUUUGGUGAUUAAGACUUCUUGGGCACUAUCAUGCAAGUACUGAAUGUCAAAAACUGAUACAACCAAGACUAUUAUUGCUAAGCACCUUUUUGGGACUUAUAAUGUGAAUGAACUGACUUACUGCGUAGGUUACUUGGGAAACCUUAUUUUCCAUUUUAUAUUGGACCCAAACCAAAGAGAGAAAUUUUGAACAGAAUAUGUAUGUUGUGGUCAAUAAUAAACUAACUAACUAUGAAUGAAUGUGUUAAGUGAUCACAUUAACAGUAUCCAAACCCAAUAAUGUAGGAUGAUGCAUAAGUUAGUGAUGAAAGAUGAGUGAACGGUAUCUUUAUAAUGUAUGAUGACGCACAAGUUGAUGUCAAGCAGUAAGAGUAAAGAGUACCAUAAACUCAGCAAAAAUACUCGAGGACAAUUGAAUGAGCUCUUUGUUUGGCCGCCGCUCAUGUUAUCAAUGAGUGGAUGUGGCAAUUCCUCAAUGGCCUGUCCUUCAUCCAGCGGGACUGAUAAGAUAGGCACGGGGCAGACAGGUGACGGCUAGAGGUAAACAGGUACGCUAAACUGACUUACAGGUAUGCUAAACUGACUUACAGGUAUGCUAAACUGACUUACAGGUAUGCUAAACUGACUGAAAGGUAUGCUAAACUGACUGAAAGGUAUGCUAAACUGACUGAAAGGUAUGCUAAACUGACUUACAGGUAUGCUAAACUGACUUACAGGUAUGCUAAACUGACUUACAGGUAUGCUAAACUGACUUACAGGUAUGCUAAACUGACUGAAAGGUAUGCUAAACUGACUUACAGGUAUGCUAAACUGACUUACAGGUAUGCUAAACUGACUGAAAGGUAUGCUAAACUGACUUACAGGUAUGCUAAACUGACUUACAAGUACACUAAACACUUACAGGUCCACUCAACUGACUUACAGGUAUACUAAACUGACUGACAGGUGUGCUAAACACUUACAGGUCCACUCAACUGACUUACAGGUAUACUAAACUGACUUACAGGUACGCUAAACUGACUAACAGGUACACUAAACACUUACGGGUCCACUCAACUGACUUACAGGUAUACUAUACUGACUUACAGGUACGCUACACAGACUGACAGGUAUGCUAAACUGACUGACAGAUACGCUAAACUGACUCAGGGAACGCAGCGAGGCCUCAACCCGGUAGCAGCGGGGAUCAUGUUUCUUAAUUGUCCCUCUAAGCGAGAGAAACAAGAAAAAAUCAUCACUCACACAAACCGUUUCAUAA